AGGUCACCGACUUCGGGUGCUUCCAACUCCCAUGGUGUGACGGGCGGUGUGUACAAGGCCCGGGAACGUAUUCACCGCGACAUUCUGAUUCGCGAUUACUAGCGAUUCCAGCUUCAUGUAGUCGAGUUGCAGACUACAAUCCGAACUGGGACUGGGUUUUUGUGAUUUGCUCGACGUCGCCGUUUUGCAUCACUUUGUUACCAGCCAUUGUAGCACGUGUGUAGCCCAAGACAUAAGGGGCAUGAUGAUUUGGACGUCAUCCCCACCUUCCUCCCGUGUUAUCCACGGGCAGUCUCUAAGAGUGCCCCAACUGAAUGAUGGCUACUAAGAAUAGGGGGGGUUGCGNCCUCGUUGCGGGGGACUUAAACCCCAACAUUCUUCACGACACGGAGCUGGACGACAAACCAUGCACCCACCCUGGUCAACCUUU
RNAcentral lists this ribosomal RNA (430 nucleotides) under uncultured bacterium. Its description in RNAcentral is "partial 16S ribosomal RNA". The record is from RNAcentral.